This 253-nucleotide ribosomal RNA is filed under the name uncultured bacterium. Its description in RNAcentral is "partial 16S ribosomal RNA". It matches the Rfam family "Bacterial small subunit ribosomal RNA", at positions 524 to 776 of the family's 1533-position model. The record is from RNAcentral.
UACGUAGGGUCCAAGCGUUAUCCGGAUUCACUGGGUUUAAAGGGUGCGUAGGUGGGUCUGUAAGUCCGUGGUGAAAUCUCCGAGCUUAACUUGGAAACUGCCAUGGAUACUAUAGAUCUUGAAUACUGUGGAGGUUAGCGGAAUAUGUCAUGUAGCGGUGAAAUGCUUAGAUAUGACAUAGAACACCAAUUGCGAAGGCAGCUGGCUACACAAAUAUUGACACUGAUGCACGAAAGCGUGGGGAUCAAACAGG